This 7519-nucleotide long non-coding RNA is filed under the name Cicer arietinum (chickpea). RNAcentral describes it as "long non-coding RNA (CARI_LNC003670)". The record is from RNAcentral. Lineage: Eukaryota; Viridiplantae; Streptophyta; Magnoliopsida; Fabales; Fabaceae.
GAAUCUAAAGUUUGAUAAAGUCAUAGGUGGUGAGACUAAGGUUGUCGAAGGGAUAAAAUACUGCCUCAACAUUACUACUACCGGUGGUAUUGAUUUUAACAAAUAUACUGUUACUGUUUUGGAGAAGGCAUGGCUACACUUUAGAAACCUCACUUACUUUGUGCCUAUUCGUGAUUAAAUCAUUCUUGGAUCUUAUAGCAUCAUUCACAUGUAAUCGUGCAAUAAAUUAUUUUUCAUUAUAAUGAAUUGUGAAUCCAAUUGUGUUGUCAAUAUUUACAAACUUUCUUAUGAAUAUGAUUCUUCGUAAAAUUGUUUAUUUUUAUUUUUAUAGAAAUCGGAAAGUUCAUAUAAGUUUUUGUAUUUUGAUGAGAUAGAUUAUUAUAACAUGUUUGAUUUUCAAUUUGCAAAACUUAAUUUUGUAAUAGAAAAAUAGUUUGACUUGAAAAUUAAUUUUUAAACUUAAUUUUUUUCUAAAUCAACGUUUAUUCAUAAGCAACACAACACUUGUUAUUUAUGGCUCUCAUUUUCUCAUUCAAAUGUGAGAUUUUUGUUAUUUUUUUUCUUUCUCCCCCAAUUAAAUUUUUUUUUUCACACUUGUUUUUUUUUUAAGCUUGAAUUUUUAUGCUUGGUAAAAUUGUCUUCGAUUUUAAUUUACAACAAUUUGUUUUCAUCAUUUGUUUAAUUUAUUUGUGGUUGAGAUAUUUUUGUAGCAGUUAUUGUUAUUUAUCACAUCACUAUAUUAUUCACAUUAAUAUAUAUAUAUAUAUAUAUAUAUAUAUAUAUAUAUAUAUAUAUAUAUAUAUAUAUUAGUAAAUAUACGCUUAAAAAUAUUUUAAAUAUAUAAUUUAAUCAAAUUUUAUUAUGGAAAAUGAAAUUCGAAUACAAAAUAUUAAACAUAAAUUAUGUUAAAUAAAAUUAAUUUAACUAAAAAACACAUUUAUGAACGUUAACCGAAAAAUAUAUUUGAAUUAAAAAUAUUGGUAGAAAGAUUAUAUAAUAAGCAAAAUUCUUAAUUUUAUCUUUGAUUUAAGACCAAGAUAAUGAUUUAACACGAUCUAUGAUUUGAGCUAUAAAAUUACUACGUUGUUUGAAGACACUUGAUUGAAAGCGGUUAGAAUAAAUAUUUUUCUCAGUUUCUGUUUUACAUAAAAUUUAAAGUUUAGUACCUACAUUAUUAGUGUAUGACUCUUUCAUUAGAACUAUAUAUUUUUAUUUUGUACAUUAUUUUUUAUACUUAUUUUGUUUAUUUUAAAAAAAAUAUAUGUCAAAUAUAUAUUAUUUUACAUCAUAAUAUAAAAUAAUAUUUAUUUUUAUUAGUGAGCACUAACUAAUCUGCUAUCAUGCUAUCACACACGUAUAUAUCAAAUGCGAAUUAAUAAAGACGUAACAUAGUGCAGCAACUUGAGGCGUCUUCAAUUAUUUUUUACUCAAUGACCUAUAUUGAAACGACUAAUCAAUUGUAUUUAAAUGGUUUAAUUUUUAUUUGAAAUGAUAUUUUUGUCUAACUAUAGAAUUGAUUAAAUAAAUAUAGAUUAUCUUUAUGUGAAUUUUUUUCUUUAACUAAAUUAAACAUCACACUGAAUGAUAGAUUAAAGUUAAGGAUCAAGCGUCGAAAAAAAUACAAUUGAUAUAAAAAACCAAAUUAUAUCAAAUGAAAUUUGUCAAUUUUAUUGAGAAUUCAAAUUAAACAAUCAGAACAAUAAUAUAAACGAAUGAAAAUGAAUGGGAUCAUCGAGUAUAGAUUAACAAUAUAAGAUAAACCUCAAAGUCUUGAUAAAAUUCGAAAAUAGUGGAGUAAUCCUAUAAUUUAACAUUCCAUGAAAAAUCCAGAAAAAAAGUUAUUAUUCUAUGGUUAAAAAAUAUAAAUUGGAUAUCUAUUCUCCAAAAAAAAUAAAAACCCUUGAUUAUAAAAUCUAAUCAUUAGUUUGUUAAAAUAAUAACUCUUGAUUAUUUCACUUUACAUUUCACUCAUUUUAAAUAAUUAUAAUCAUCUCAUUUAAUAUGUCUUUAAAGAUGAUAUCGAAUGACGCUAUGAUAUCAAAGUUUAAUUUGGCACAAUUUUAGUUUUUUGAUUUUAUUUAAUCGAAAGAUAAAAAACAAUCACUAAAAUAAAUAUUUUAUAAGAUCAAAUAUGUAAUUAUUUGAUUAUAACUUUUCCUAGGAUAGAAGAUUUUGCACCUUAUUAACUAUUGACGAAAAAUUUCCCUUGGUCUCUCUUUGUUUGACAGCAUAAAAUUUCUUUAUUUUUUUAUUAAUAAAAUAUGAAACUUGCACUGUCAAAUCUCUUGAAUAAAAAAUUUACCUCUAUUGUACUCUUAUUAAAUUUGAAGAUAAUACCCGAAUAAAAAGAAUAAAAGCAUAAGAAAUCUUCUUGAUUUUUGUUUGACUUAAUACAUCAUGUAACAUCAAUAACGGUUUCAGCUACUGAAGAAAUAUCAUUAAGGGUUUGUGAUUUUGUUAAUUCUUGAUAUUUCAUAUCUUUGAAACUCAACCUAUGCGCUUAAUUGCAAAAAUUCAAUGGAAACGGAUGUGCAGUGGCAACAGAGAAGUAGGAAAAUAUGGAAAUAUUUGAAAAUAAAAAUAAGGGCAUAUGACAUGUGAAAAUAGAUUUAGACUCUUGAUCUUUGACCUAUGAAAUCACGUCCAUGUAUUAUUUUUUAUAUCAAUAAUAUUUAACACAUUUAAGUUUUAUUUUUUAAAAUCUAUUUUAUUUUUUAUUUUUUUCAUUAUAUUAUUCUCAAUAUGUUGAUUAGGUUGACGGACAUUGAUCAUUUUUUUACGAGUAACAUAAUCCAUGUUGAUGGGUGAGUUGUAUGGAAUCACUACAAGAAAAUUGACUUUUAGUGACAUACAAAGUUUGUCACCAAAAGUCAAAAAUUACAAGUAAAUGUCAAUAAUACUUUGAAUGACAUCUAAAUCUAUUGCCAAUUUUAAGGGGGCAUCUUGCUAUACUUUGAAGACUGUCACUCCAAUUUUGAGAUAUGUAACUACAUGUUUUUGAUUUCUAACUACAAUAAUGACUAUCACUAAAAACUAGAUAAAUAUAAAUAAAGAAUUAAUAUAUUCCUACAGUAUUGUUUGUCAAUAAAAAAAAGGAUAAAUAUUAAUAAGCAAUUAAUAUGUUCAUACGGUAUUGUCUGUCACUAAAACUUAUUAUUAUUUAUUAAAUUAAUUUUUUUUUAUCUCUCUAUUAAUUGUAAUUCUAAAUUAUUAAUACAAGUAAAUUAUAUUUAAAUUUCUAAUAUAUUUUUAUUAAUAUGUUCAUACGGAAAUGUCCAUACUGCAAACACAAUAUUUCCAAAUUACACAGAUCUGAUAAUCACACAAAUUUAUUUUGUCCACGCAGCAAACAUCGUAGACAAUGACAUCCUCAGACAAUUUCAACUUAUAAAGUUACUGAUUAGUUUUAAUCCUCAACAUGAAGAAUCUGUUAGAAUGCUAACACAUGGUUUCCGCAAAAACAUAUGAUUCAAUUUACUUGAUGAAGUUUUCGUUUUCUUAAAAAGAGAGAGAAGGGGACAUAAGCUAGAGGAAAGAGGGUAUAACAAAAAUGAUGAAUGAGUAGAAGGUACCUCUCCAAAUUACCUUGUACUGACAAUGCAAUUAUGUGGUUUUCCUUUUCAGACAAAAUUUUAAUCAAGCAGUGCUCUUUUCCUUAAACUAAUAUAUUCUUUAAAAAAAAAUCAUAAAAGUUGAAAGCAGAUGAACCUAAAUUGAUGUACGGUAAAUUCUAUUUCUAGCAGAGUAUGUAGUGACAAAACAGGUUUGAAAUUUCAAAAUCCUAUUGCACUAAGUAAUUAAGGGAGAUAAAUAAAAAACAACCAAUAUCAUUCUAUCCAUCAAAAGGACAAAUGGAUUAAGGACAAAUGGAUUACUUUACUUGAUCAAGUGGUUCUAGAUUUGCUUUCAUAUUGGAGGGUAACUACAUGUAUUCCUUUGCGCAACCAAUCAUAAUAAUAGCCAACAAUGGCAGAAUCAGCUGUGCAGUCCACUAAUGCCGUAUUUGGUAUAAAUUGAUUUACAUGCAUGUGUUGAACACAUUUUUCCAAAUCAGUCACUUCUCCUCUUUCCUCUCGAAGUUCUUUCCACAUUGCAAAGUCAAUACCCUUGCAGAGAGCAAUUACAAUAUGAAUUAAUUGAGCAUGAGCUUAUUUUGUCAAUCGUGCACAUAUAGCCAACGACAUAAGUUAACACAUCCCAUGAUGCAUUUUGUAAAUGUAGUUCCAUGAUGCGUAGUGGCCAAAUAAUUCCUAUUGUCAACAAUUGAACUAUAUAAGUAUGUGAGAGAGUCACGAUACUAAAAUAGAAACCAUAAAAUCACACAUAUCAAGAAGCAUGAAUUACCAAAAGUAAUCAGGUAUCACUUAAAUUUUGAACUUACAAAAAAUGAAUAAAAAUGUUCUAAGAUUAACGGCAAGCAACAAAGCCUAGCCGUGUAUCAUUUAGAGAGAUUCAAUUUAGGGAGAUUUCACUGAGAAGCAUUGACUUUGAGCCAAGUAUGUCCAUUACACGCAAAUUAAUGUUAAAUUCUUCUUUCAGAACUGAAGCCUGCAUUGAAUGAAUUUUGAAUGAACUUGUCACAUAUUUCAAGAAGCCUUCUAGUAUUUACAAAUAUGAAAUAUCCAAAUGAAUUUUUAGCAAGCCAGAGCAUCAUAUUUAAGGGAGGUAGACUACUCAAUAAUUCUACAUUUUAUUUCUAUUUCUGUUAUAAUUUUAAAUUAUGAUAUCAACUACGAAAUAUGAAACUAAUCUUAAAACAUAUUUUGAAAUACGAAAUAUGUAAGAUAAGAAAUUAAUCCUAAUACAAUAUAUAAUAUAAGAUGAUCUGCAAUAAUACUAAGAUAUUAAUAUUUAAAAAAAUUAGGUUGGACUUUAUGAAUGAUUUUUUCUUCUUCUUUAUAAUCAAAACAUAUUCUGUUGAAAAAUGUAAUAUAUAUAUAUAUUUUUUUUUAUAAGAAAACAUGUUGUAAGCAAAUAUAUUAUAUUAGGAUAGAAUUGAAUUCGAAAAAAAAAAAUAUUGCGCAAGAAUAUGAGAUUAAUGUGUUAUACGACACUAUGAGUAGAUAUUCAAUAUAUAUGAAUUUAAAAAUCUAUUAUAAAUUUAAUAUAGACACAAACAAUUUUGGAAAAUGUUUUAUAUAAAAACAAUUUUUGAAUUUGUUAAUAAUUAUUUUAUAUUUGAUAUAUAUAUAUAUAUUUCGGAAAAUCUAUUAUAAAUGCCAUAUAGUUAAAAACAAUUUUCGAAAUUGUUAAUAAUUAUUUUAUAUUCCACGUAAAUAAUAAUAAUAAUAAUAAUAAUAAUAAUAAUAAUAAUAAUAAAAUAAUAAGAAAACCAUAAUGAAAAAAUAGAAAAUAAAAAUGAGAUAUUUGUUUCUUUUUCUUUUUUAUCAGAAUAUUUUCUUCUUUAAAUGUGCUGAUUUAAAUUUAUUUUUUUGACUCAGAUUUAAAUCUUUUUAAGAUGUGGUAAAUAUAUUUGAUUUUUUAUUAUAAGUAAGCUUUUACUAUAAAUAAAUAAGAGUUUAAAGAGUUGGUGUGAAAAGGAAAAGGUAGGAAAAAGGAAAAUUUCCCAAAAUUUGGUAAAAACUUUUCUCUGAAAAAAUUUAAUGAGGUAGGUCUUGCUAUUCUGUCUAUUGUUCUUCAUGUAUAUAAACAUUUACUUGUAUCAGCUGUUUUUUUUAUCCUUAAUUAAUCUACAACCUACUAGUAUUGUUUUUAGAGCAUGUAACUCGUUGUGCAUCUCUUAUCUGCUUUCAAAGGAGGAAGAUGAGGAAUUAUGGGCUUAACCCAUGAGGCCCAUUCUGAUAAAUAAAUAAAUAAAUAGUAGGGGUAUUUUGCAUCCAAACCAAUAAAAAACGUAAAUUAAUGAAAAUCAGUUGUUAUUAUACUGACAUUUAUACUUUUUCUCUUUAAAAAUGUAAAUAUAAAUUAAUAAGUUUGAUAUAUAUGAUUUAAAUUUUGAGUCAAAUACAUUAAAUAUAAAGAAAGAGUAACUCGUGAGAAAAUAAUAGUUACAGUUUGAGUUACGUGAGACUUCAAUAUGUUGUUCUUCUCCUAUUUGUUGUGUCGGUGUCCUCUCUAUCGCUACAUGACAUCAAGUUAUCUCCGAUAAGUGGUGAGACUAAGGUUGUCGAAGGGAUAAUUUAUUGUCUCAACAUUACUUUUAACCUAUUCACGAAUAAAUUAAUCUAGGAUCUUGUAACAUCAUUUACAUGCAACACAAUAAUAAAAAUGUUUUGUUCAUUAUAAUGGAGGGUGAAUGUAAUUGUCCGGUUAAUAGUUACAAAAUUUCUUGUGAUUAUCAUUAAUAAACUAAUUAAUAGAUGGGGUAUUCACAAUUAAAUAAACGAAAAAGUGAAAGCAGUACAAAAUUGAAUAUUAUUGAAUAAUUUUCAAUUUAUUUUAUAUUGAAUUCUAUUUUUAUAUUUAUUUUUGAAAAUGGAACCAAAGCAUAAAUAGAAAUUUUAAUUUUUUUUUAGUUUUUUAUUAAUAUGAAAUAAUGUAUUCAACUAUUAUUUGUUAAUUUUAAUUAACUUUUAAUAAUAUUUAUCUGUUUAAUUUUGUAUAUUUUUAUUCUUAUGUCAGAAUUUUAAAUAUAAUUGAUCUAUUUUAAUCCGUGAUAUUAAUUUUUAGUAUAUUAUAUAUAAUAUUUUACUUAAAACUUGUUACACUAAUGUAAUUUUAUAUACUAUAAUAAAAUAUUAUACUUCAAAUUAUAAUUUAAAUCAAUUAAAAAUUGAUCCAAUUAAAAUCACAUUAAUUUAAAUUAAAUCAGAGUUUUUUGUUGUUCUUUAAUCAAACUCAAUUACAAAUAUUUUAAUAUUUAAAUCUGAUGAGUUUUUCGCAUAAAUAUUUAACAAUAAUGUCACUUUAUUAUUAUUUAUUUUAGUCAACCCAUUUAUUAUGGUAAUGUGAAAAUUAGUUGUUGUUGUACUCACAUAUACGUUUUCUCCCUUAAAAAAUAUAAAUAAAAUUUAAUAAAAUAAAAAUUGAUAUACAUAUAUAUAAUUUAAAUAUUGAGUCAAAUAAUAAAGAGUAACUCAUGUGCAAUAUAAAUAACAGCCUAACGAGCAAACAAUAACUCACAGCAAAAAACACCAUUUGUAAAUCUUGAAAAAAUAAUAGUUACUAUUUGAGCACCAUGAGACAUCAAUUUGUUGUUGUUCUUCUCUUUGUUGUGUUUGUGGCUUCUAUGGCUACAAGAAAUCAACUUAUCCCAGGUACGUGGGUCCCCAUCAAGGACCUUAACGACCCACAUGUGACCGAACUUGCCAAUUUCGCCGUAACCGAACAUGACAAACAAACACAGUCGAAUCUAAAGUUUGAUAAGGUCAUAGGUGGUGAGACUAAGGUUGUUGGAGGGAUAAAAUACUGCCUCAACAUUACUACUACCGGUGGUAUAGAUUUUAACAAAUAUACUGUUACUGUUUUGGAGAAGGCAUUGCUACACUUUAGAAACCUCACUUACUUUGUGCCUAUUCGUGAUUAAAUCAUUCUUGGAUCUUAUAGCAUCAUUCACAUG